Molecule: small nuclear RNA, 96 nt
Filed under: Ursus thibetanus thibetanus
Lineage: Eukaryota; Metazoa; Chordata; Mammalia; Carnivora; Ursidae
Source: RNAcentral
AUAUUUAGUACAUACAUUAAAAUUGGAAUAAUACAGAGAAGACCAGCAUGGCCCCUGCACAAUGACAUGCAAAUUCAAGAAGAAUUCCAUAUUAAU